GGGCUUCCCAUGCCGCGGGCCUGCGCCUAUAUCGGCCGGGUCGGUUUCACCGGCUAUGGCGAUAAACUGCGGCGUACAAUAGGCGCAGCGGACCCGGGGGCAGUACCCGGCGGCUCCACCACCCGAGCUGAGGCGCUCGGCGCCACGGUUCACGCGUGGCACCGGGCCUUAGGUCGAAUGACGGGGCCGAACCAGGAUCGACGUGUGUUGAAAAGCGCUGUUUUCGCUCGGAAUGGGACCACCGCAACGGCCCAUUACACAAGUGCCAACGAUAACGAAGCACUCGCGAUUGCGGCGUAACUGAGGGCCUCACGGCCUAAGGUUACUCCAAGAUAGCGCGGUUCGGACCCCACCGGGCAACAGAAGGGGAAACC
Molecule: transfer-messenger RNA, 374 nt
Filed under: Sphingomonas gellani
Lineage: Bacteria; Pseudomonadati; Pseudomonadota; Alphaproteobacteria; Sphingomonadales; Sphingomonadaceae
Description: Alphaproteobacteria transfer-messenger RNA
Rfam family: Alphaproteobacteria transfer-messenger RNA
About the family: Bacterial tmRNA, also known as 10Sa RNA or SsrA, is named for its dual tRNA and mRNA-like properties. Its role is to liberate the mRNA from a stalled ribosome.
Source: Rfam by way of RNAcentral